Molecule: ribosomal RNA, 765 nt
Filed under: uncultured Streptococcus sp.
Lineage: Bacteria; Bacillati; Bacillota; Bacilli; Lactobacillales; Streptococcaceae
Description: bacterial SSU rRNA
Rfam family: Bacterial small subunit ribosomal RNA
Source: RNAcentral
GACGAACGCUGGCGGCGUGCCUAAUACAUGCGAGUAGAACGCUGAAGAGAGGAGCUUGCUCUUCUUGGAUGAGUUGCGAACGGGUGAGUAACGCGUAGGUAACCUGCCUUGUAGCGGGGGAUAACUAUUGGAAACGAUAGCUAAUACCGCAUAACAAUGGAUGACACAUGUCAUUUAUUUGAAAGGGGCAAUUGCUCCACUACAAGAUGGACCCGCGUUGUAUUAGCUAGUAGGUGAGGUAACGGCUCACCUAGGCGACGAUACAUAGCCGACCUGAGAGGGUGAUCGGCCACACUGGGACUGAGACACGGCCCAGACUCCUACGGGAGGCAGCAGUAGGGAAUCUUCGGCAAUGGGGGCAACCCUGACCGAGCAACGCCGCGUGAGUGAAGAAGGUUUUCGGAUCGUAAAGCUCUGUUGUAAGUCAAGAACGAGUGUGAGAGUGGAAAGUUCACACUGUGACGGUAACUUACCAGAAAGGGACGGCUAACUACGUGCCAGCAGCCGCGGUAAUACGUAGGUCCCGAGCGUUAUCCGGAUUUAUUGGGCGUAAAGCGAGCGCAGGCGGUUAGAUAAGUCUGAAGUUAAAGGCUGUGGCUUAACCAUAGUACGCUUUGGAAACUGUUUAACUUGAGUGCAGAAGGGGAGAGUGGAAUUCCAUGUGUAGCGGUGAAAUGCGUAGAUAUAUGGAGGAACACCGGUGGCGAAAGCGGCUCUCUGGUCUGUAACUGACGCUGAGGCUCGAAAGCGUGGGGAGCAAACAGG